Molecule: long non-coding RNA, 4934 nt
Organism: Eptatretus burgeri (inshore hagfish)
Lineage: Eukaryota; Metazoa; Chordata; Myxini; Myxiniformes; Myxinidae
Source: Ensembl
GUAACGUGUAAACCUGCACAACAAACCUGAAAUGAUGUCUCUUUUUUCUCGCAAGACCAAGUCUGAAGUUGAAGUGCAGUAUUAUGUGCACGGGAUGUCAUUUGGAGCAGAAAAUGGAUUUUUGAAGAAGCUCAGAUCAUGUUUGGAAAAACAAUCCGUGGAUCUGAAAUUGACAGAAUACCUCUCCACUCGUGGUUCCAUACCUGUCCUCCUUUUCUGUGUCAAUGCCACACACGUGGCCAAUGAAGCCAGAAAAGCUCUUGCACAAAUCGGUGGAAGACCUGCAUUCCUGAUUGUGAUGAAUCACUUUCCAAAGCAUUCACGCAGAAAGGAUCCUCAUAGUGCCUCACAUGUCCAAGCACAGAAUAUCUGUGCAGUGCUGGAUUGCUUCUUCUCCGAGUCAGAUGGCAUGUAUGAUUGUGUGGAGAAUACGGAGGUCGUGAAAAAAGUGGCAAAUCAACUUGUACCAAUGGCAAGUUUUACUCAACAACAUGAUAACAGUCCAUGGCAACACUUAACAAGUACUGGGAGUUCGCAGCAUGAUCAAGAAUGGAACAGAUUCGACGUUGAAAUCAAUUUUAAUGCUGAUCCAGGUUCUAGCAACAUGAAUUCUUCAAAAACACAUCGUUCAUCUAAUGAAGAAAAUACAAGAUCAAAAGCUCAGAAAACUCAACAAUCAGUUUUCUUGCAGUAUGAGACAUAUGGAAAUUCAAAGGGAGCAGAACAAGGUUUUUUGAAGAAGUUGAAAUGCUAUUUCCACAAGAUAAAUGUGGAUCUGCGUAUCGAGCCGUAUACAAGAACAACCCCCAUUUCUGACACCAAACCUCUCGUCCUUUUCUGUGUUAACUCUUCUCGUGUGGGCACUGAUGCUCAAGCUGCAUUACAACGCAUUGCAAGUGACGAACCUGUAAUAUUGAUUGUGUUGAAUCACUUUCAAAAGAAAGCAAACCUGGCAAAUCCUCACAGCGCCACACACGUUCAACAAAGUAAUGUCCGUGCAGUGGUGGAUUGCUUCUUCUUCGAGUCAGACGGCGUAUACGACUGUGACCAGAAUGAGGAGGCUGUGAUGCGAGUUGGAAAUGAAAUUAUAUCAAGGCUAAGUACUCUUGGACAUCGUGAUGACAUUCAAACAGUGUCAUCCAUGUCCAGCUCAGAUGGUUCGGCUGACCCUCAGCCUGAUAUUUCCCAAUUUAAUCAGCGAUUCCUCGAAAAUGAUAAUCUUCAAGUUAUUUUGCAGUAUCAAAAACCAACAGCAAAUGAAGACCUUUUAAAGAAACUGGAAUCAGAUCUACAGAAGCAGUGUCAUCAGAUUUUUCAGAACACAACAAAAUCCAUCUCAUCCAACAUUGAACAGAGUCUUUCACACUUUCAUUACUUUUCCACCAGGACUGAUGCCCUUCAUAUUAUUCGACACAUUGAAGCCCGGUCCCUCAUUGAGGUUUCCAUCAAACGCAAGCCAAGGGGACCAGAUUUAUUUGAUCCUGAGAAAGUUCAACAGACAGGCCAUGCAGUGGUGGACAUCUUCUUGUUUCAAACAAAUGCAAGUUACAACAGUGAGGAGAAUCAGGAGGGUUUGAGACUCAUGAAAGAGAAAAUAACUUCAAUAAACAACACUGGAGGAACAAUUCAAACUGAUGAUCCAAUGUGUGGUGUCCCAUCUGAGUCUGAAGGUUCUGCGAUGUGUUCUGAUCACGAGAAACUUCAAACGACUUCUUUAACUCCCCCAGAUUAUCAUUAUUACACAUAUCGCGACCAAGACAAAAUAGCAGAAAUCUUUCUUGAAACACUGGAAGAGACAUUGAAGAAAAGUUCCACUGUUUUAAAAUCUGAAAAGUUGAAAAAACCACCAAAUGAAUGUGCAUCCACAACAAGGCCUACCUUGCUGUUUUGUCGAAACAAAGAUAUUGAAUCUGAAACUUUCCCAUCAGAUGAAGGCACUAUAGUGAUCAUAACGGAUGACAAGGAGCAGGCAGACGACCAGAUGCCAGUUUCUGUAAGGUACAUUAGGAAUCGCACAGCCCGAUUAGUGGUUCAUUACUCUUUGUCAGAAUCAAAUCGAACCAUGAACAUGAACAUGAACAUUGUGGAAACCGUGGCCGCAACUUUACGAAGUAUCACUGACAAACAUUCUUCUCAGCUGAGCAAAUGAGUGUAAGUAGUUGUAUUGUUCAGAAAUUAUCCACUUUUGCUAUUGUAUGUUGGUUGAUCUCAUGUGACUUGCUGAUACGAGGUUGCGGAAACAUUACCAGAUGUUUGUGAAGAUUCCACUGAUUGUAAUGCAGGUUAUUAUGAUGAGUAUAGCUUGUACUCUUGUGAGCAUGUUUCUUCAAAAUGAUACAAAACACAAUGAUUGCAUGUCCUAAAUGGGUUUUUCCAAAUGAGGUUCCUGCACAAAAAAAAGGUUUUUGGGUUCUCCUGUAAGUUAUUAAAAGUCCGAGUUGACAAUGUAAUUGCGACAUGUAAGUUCCAGAGAAUGAUACGAACCCUAUGGCUGGAUUAAUGAGGAGGUUGGCAGGUUUUCAGACAAGGUCGUGAUUAAUUAUAAUAUAAUCAGCGGGGUGAUAACUUCUUAACUAUUGAGGUUGGCACUGUCUGGGUCUGCUUCUGGAAGGUUUAAAAGGCAACAAUACAAAUGUCAAGGACCGAACAAACAUCGUAAUUGAAAUAAAAUUGAAAAACUGCUUGAAAUAAUCUUUGGAGAGUGAGAGUGAGAUGUUCCAAACUGAGCUACACACUACAGAACCCUUUUUGAAGCCUCGAGAAACGAUUCUUCCAAUGAAACUGCAACAUGUCCAGGAUGAAUUCUGAGCGAAGCCUGUGCGCCCAAUAUACUAUCCAAUGGGGUAUGGGAGUAACAACAAUGAGACAAACCCAAAUAAUACAUGCCAGGAAGUGUGCCGUGAUUAUAGAGAUUUCUUGAAGAGGGUCACAGGAGCAACGUGAUAAAUUGUGUCAGAAAUUGAUAUUUUUCAAUAAAGCAAUGGAAGCAAUGGAACUUCCACCAAUUGAGAUUUUCACUCUUUCUCUCCAAAUGAGUUGAUGGUUUACUGACCAAAAUGGUUAUUCUUGCAUAUUGUGUGUCAGCACACUCAAAACAGCUUCCAAAAAAAUGAUAGAAAGGAAAGCAAUUUCUGUGAAAUAAAAAAAAUGGAAAAUCUGGUGAUUGUUGAAGUGAAAACCCACAUUCCAUAACACACUGCUCAAUGGGUGUGUUCAGAUGUUUUGUUUUUGUUUUGUUUCCCUGAUCGAGUAGCUGUUGAUAUAUUUCCAGUAUCAAGUCUAAAAUAGUUUUGUUUUUAUUUCAGGUUGCAACAGAAGAAAGCAAGGUGGACAUUUCAAAUGCUCCAUCAGCUUCUCUUGUCAUGGAUUAUUUGAGAUGGCAGGAAUUAUGUGAGGGUGAAAUUUAUGAACUGGCUUCGAUAAUGAAUUAUAUAAGAACCAAUCUUGCUUUAGACCUGAAACUUGUUUUCAUCAGAGUCUUUCUAUCGUCAAACCUGACUUUGUAGAUUGGAACCAGGGAUGUUUGCUUUGUAUAACAGUGAUUCUGUACAAUGUAUGUCAAUGAACAUUCAGUAGUUGUUAUGGAAGGAAGGUGACUCGUUUUUCUUAUCCUCAACCCCUCAAUGACCCUUCAUUCAUGAAUCAUCUCUCGUUACCCUUGAUCCCUCAUCAUUGAUGCAAUCCCCUUUUGAUUCUUCAUUUCUAAUCUGACUGAGCCCCUUCAAACUUUCAGACAACUCAACAAUAAUUACGAUUCCCCUCUCCAUCCUCGCAUUGCUCUUGCACACACGAAGGGCUAAUGCGGGAAACGUCGGCUUUACUUUGCUCCCUUGACUUUUAGCACACCUUUAUCAACAUUUCAUUGAUAAACCGAUAAUUGGAAUUGUCCAAUCACACUAACCAACACUAGCCUUGAGAAAGUAUAGUAAUAUUGUGUUGUAGGAGUUUUAUAAAGGGUAGUUUAAUGUCGAAAAGAUGACCUACUCCAAACUUCUACCAAUUCAGAUUUUUACUCUUUCUCUCCAAAUGAGUUGAUAGUUUAAUGAUCAAAAAGGUUCCUCCUCCUCUUCCUCCUCCUCCUGAGUCCAGGUGACCCCAUACCCACAACAACUGGGAUAAUUUAAUAGUGGUUGAUUUAGAAAGGCCAAUUUUCAAACUUCUUUGUAACAUUAUUGAACUUUGUGCAUUUGCCGAAUAAUUUAAUAAUUUGAUUUAUUUUUCUCUAAAUCUACACCUGCUUGUUUGAAAGACAGACUGCUUUUUCGUUGCUUGCUAUUAACCAUUGCAAAUGAUUUAUUAAAGAUAAACAUGGCACUUUUACAGCUUUCAGUUGAUCAUAUAGAAAAGUUAGAGACUUAUGUAUUGGGAUUUGGUAUUUGCUUAUGAAUGGAGAGUUUACAGAAUUGUACCCAGCACAUGGGCAAGAAAGGGACUGGCAGAGAUGCGUGGGGACUGGUAAUGCUUCUUUUCCUCUUCUUCUUCAUAUUACACUGGAAUUUGUUUGCUGUGUUGCCUCUCCAGUAAAAAAAAACAUUUUGGUGAAGAGUUUUUCAACAAACUGUCAUCUGUGGGAUAUUUGCCAGCAUUGCUGUAUGGACUAUCAGUUAAAGUGAGAAUUUGAAUCAUUGACUGACUAUUUUGUGAUUAUAGAUAUUUAUCUCUCUGUAUGCAUUAAAAUUUAAAUGGCAUUUUGAAGGAAGUUAUAGGGGAUAGAUUAUUGUUUGGCCUGCAUCUGAAAAUGACCAAGACUCACAGGGAUUUGUUGUCUGUUUGAAACUUGACAUUUGAGACGAAGACAGACUGCAUUGUUGAAGAAAUGACCUAAAAAGGAAAUAAAGAACUGGACUAUUUGGCAGUAGAAGUCGUCAUAAAUAGAUUUCUGGGGGCCGAGAGGUGGGGUUGACGGGAGAGCGGUUGCAAGAAGUCAGGUGAGU